UACAGAGGUCUCAAGCGUUGUUCGGAUUCAUUGGGCGUAAAGGGUGCGUAGGCGGCGCGGUAAGUCGGAUGUGAAAUCUCGGAGCUUAACUUCGAAACUGCAUUCGAUACUGCCGUGCUUGAGGACUGGAGAGGAGACUGGAAUUUACGGUGUAGCGGUGAAAUGCGUAGAUAUCGUAAGGAAGACCAGUGGCGAAGGCGGGUCUCUGGACAGUUCCUGACGCUGAGGCACGAAGGUCAGGGGAGCAAACGGGG
This 254-nucleotide ribosomal RNA is filed under the name uncultured bacterium. Its description in RNAcentral is "partial 16S ribosomal RNA". It matches the Rfam family "Bacterial small subunit ribosomal RNA", at positions 524 to 777 of the family's 1533-position model. The record is from RNAcentral.